UACGUAGGUGGCAAGCGUUGUCCGGAUUUACUGGGCGUAAAGCGCGUGUAGGCGGCUGUCUAAGUUGGGUGUGAAAGCCCGGGGCUCAACCCCGGGACGCCGCCCAAGACUGGACGGCUUGAGGACGGAAGAGGGGCGUGGAAUUCCAGGUGUAGCGGUGAAAUGCGUAGAUAUCUGGAGGAACACCGGUGGCGAAGGCGGCAUCCUGGACCAUUACUGACACUGAUAAGCGAAAGCCAGGGGAGCAAACGGG
RNAcentral lists this ribosomal RNA (253 nucleotides) under uncultured bacterium. RNAcentral describes it as "partial 16S ribosomal RNA". It matches the Rfam family "Bacterial small subunit ribosomal RNA", at positions 524 to 776 of the family's 1533-position model. The record is from RNAcentral.